UGUGCUUUGUAAAAUUUCGGUGUUGGG
RNAcentral lists this non-coding RNA (27 nucleotides) under Homo sapiens (human). The record is from RNAcentral. Lineage: Eukaryota; Metazoa; Chordata; Mammalia; Primates; Hominidae.